UGGGAGGGGGAUAACAGCUGGAAACGGCUGCUAAUACCCCAUAUCCUGAGGAGGGAAAGGAGAGAUCCGCCCAGGGAGGGGCUUGCGUCUGAUUAGCUAGUUGGGGGGGUAAUGGCCUCCCAAGGCAACGAUCAGUUGCUGGUCUGAGAGGAUGAUCAGCCACACUGGGACUGAGACACGGCCCAGACUCCUACGGGAGGCAGCAGUGAGGAAUCUUCCGCAAUGGGCGAAAGCCUGACGGGGCAAUGCCGCGUGGAGGAUGAAGGCCCAAUGGGUCGUAAACUUCUUUAGAUCAGAGACGAAGAGAUGACGGUACCUGAAGAACUAAGCAUCGGCUAAACCCCGUGCCAGCAGCCGCGGUAAGACGGGGGAUGCGAGCGUUAUCCGGAAUGAUUGGGCGUAAAGGGUCCGCAGGUGGCCCGGUCAGUCCGCUGUCAAAACCUGGGGCUCAACCCUGGACAGGCGGCGGAGACCACCGGGCUUGAGUCCGGUAGGGGCAGAGGGAAUUCCCGGUGGAGCGGUGAAAUGCGUAGAGAUCGGGAAGAACGCCAAGGGCGAAGGCACUCUGCUAGGCCUGAUUUCG
Molecule: ribosomal RNA, 583 nt
Filed under: Klebsormidium sp.
Lineage: Eukaryota; Viridiplantae; Streptophyta; Klebsormidiophyceae; Klebsormidiales; Klebsormidiaceae
Description: SSU rRNA
Rfam family: Bacterial small subunit ribosomal RNA
Source: RNAcentral